Molecule: ribosomal RNA, 229 nt
Filed under: uncultured bacterium
Lineage: Bacteria
Description: partial 16S ribosomal RNA
Rfam family: Bacterial small subunit ribosomal RNA
Source: RNAcentral
UGAGUAACACGUAUCCAACCUGCCGUCUACUCUUGGCCAGCCUUCUGAAAGGAAGAUUAAUCCAGGAUGGCAUCAUGAGUUCACAUGUCCGCAUGAUUAAAGGUAUUUUCCGGUAGACGAUGGGGAUGCGUUCCAUUAGAUAGUAGGCGGGGUAACGGCCCACCUAGUCAACGAUGGAUAGGGGUUCUGAGAGGAAGGUCCCCCACAUUGGAGCUGAGACACGGUCCAA